This 268-nucleotide ribosomal RNA is filed under the name uncultured bacterium. RNAcentral's name for it is "partial 16S ribosomal RNA". It matches the Rfam family "Bacterial small subunit ribosomal RNA", at positions 793 to 1055 of the family's 1533-position model. The record is from RNAcentral.
GUCCUAGCCCUAAACGAUGCUCAUUAGGUGUGGGAGGUAUCGACCCCUUCCGCGCCGUAGCUAACGCAUUAAAUGAGCCGCCUGGGGAGUACGGCCGCAAGGUUGAAACUCAAAGGAAUUGACGGGGGCCCCGCACAAGCGGUGGAGCAUGUGGUUUAAUUCGACGCAACUCGAAGAACCUUACCUGGGCUUGAACUACUGGUAGUAAGUCUUUGGAAACAUAGACUGAUCCGCAAGGAAGCCAGCAGAGGUGCUGCAUGGUUGUCGU